GCAUUUGUGAGGAGGAGGUUCCAACUUCAAACGUUGAAGACCAUUCAAGAAUUUGUGCAAUUGCUGAUCGCUGUGACCAGAAGGGUCUAAGCGUGAAUGAACGUCUUGUUGGAAUUUCUGACACUCUUGAGAAGAUGAUGGAGUCCUUUACGCAGAAGGAUAUCCAACAUGCAGUAGGAAGCCCAGAUGUUGCCAAAGUAU
RNAcentral lists this unclassified non-coding RNA (201 nucleotides) under Hevea brasiliensis (rubber tree). Lineage: Eukaryota; Viridiplantae; Streptophyta; Magnoliopsida; Malpighiales; Euphorbiaceae. The record is from RNAcentral.